This is a long non-coding RNA of Neogale vison (American mink), 100 nucleotides long. RefSeq lists it as uncharacterized. The transcript has 3 exons. The record is from RefSeq and is a predicted model, not a curated record. NCBI's taxonomy places the organism in Eukaryota, Metazoa, Chordata, Mammalia, Carnivora, Mustelidae.
GACAACGUCCCCAGCGCAGCACACUGGAGCAGUGGGGGUUUGCUGUCCAGUUUGGAGGAAGAAGCUAAGACCACCUGAAGGCUGGAAAAGAACACUUGAA